RNAcentral lists this ribosomal RNA (510 nucleotides) under uncultured bacterium. RNAcentral's name for it is "bacterial SSU rRNA". It matches the Rfam family "Bacterial small subunit ribosomal RNA", at positions 17 to 518 of the family's 1533-position model. The record is from RNAcentral.
UUCUGGCUCAGGAUGAACGCUAGCUACGGGCUUAACACAUGCAAGUCGAGGGGCAGCAUUGGAGUAGCAAUACUCAGAUGGCGACCGGCGCACGGGUGAGUAACACGUAUCCAACCUGCCGCUUACUCGGGGAUAGCCUUUCGAAAGAAAGAUUAAUACCCGAUGGUAUAAAGAGUUCGCAUGUUCUCUUUAUUAAAGAAUUUCGGUAAGCGAUGGGGAUGCGUUCCAUUAGAUAGUUGGCGGGGUAACGGCCCACCAAGUCUACGAUGGAUAGGGGUUCUGAGAGGAAGGUCCCCCACAUUGGAACUGAGACACGGUCCAAACUCCUACGGGAGGCAGCAGUGAGGAAUAUUGGUCAAUGGACGAGAGUCUGAACCAGCCAAAAGUAGCGUGAAGGAUGACUGCCCUAUGGGUUGUAAACUUCUUUUAUAAGGGAAUAAAGUGAGGGACGUGUCCCUUUUUGUAUGUACCUUAUGAAUAAGGAUCGGCUAACUCCGUGCCAGCCGCCGC